CAUGUUUGGCACUGCUUUUUUUAGUGUGGUUGCAGGAGUGAAGUUGAAGACAUGUUUAGAGAGCCGGGCUUUUUUCGAUUCUGAGAACAAGCUACCACCUGAAGCAAAAGCACAAGGGAAUGAAAUUUUUAUAAACGUAAAGACACUGUUCUGGAUGUCAGCUGUAACUAGAGAUCUUGUUGUCCUCUGUUAGAAUCUUCUGUCUCAGGAAGCAGGGUAAAGAAUGGUCACCUUUUUCUCAGUUUCCAAAUAUUCUUCCUCGAGGUAUUUACGUGGGUUUGAUUGCUUUGA
Aegilops tauschii subsp. strangulata is the source of this 291-nucleotide non-coding RNA. Lineage: Eukaryota; Viridiplantae; Streptophyta; Magnoliopsida; Poales; Poaceae. The record is from RefSeq and is a predicted model, not a curated record.